ACACGCUUCCCCACUGAGGGAAGACCAUGUGACUAUACAACAGGAAGGUAGUUGUUUACAAGCCAGGAAGAGAGCCCUCACCAGAAACCAAAUUGGCUGGCGCCUUGAUCAUGGACUCCUGGGCUCCGGAACUGUAAGAAAAUUUGUGUUGUGGAAGCCACCCAGCCCAUGGUAUUUCGUUAUGGCAGCCUGAGCAGAGGUGGUAGCUAUGUGGACAGUUUUUGGACUUCUCUAUUAGACGGCGUUUCACCAUGUUGCCCAGACUGGUCUCGAACUCCUGGCUUCAAGUGAUCCUCCUGCCUCAACCUCCCAAAGUGCUGGUAUUACAGAUGAGAAAACAGAAGCAAAGGCAGAAAGAUGCUACAUUGCCAGCUUUGAAGAUGGAGGGAAGAGGUCACAAACCAAGGAAGGUGAGUGGUGCCUAGAAGUUGGAAAAGACAUGGAAACACAUUCUUCUGUAAAGCACUUAGAAAGAAAUACAGUCUUCCAAAAUGUUGAUCUUAGCCAGGCAAUGAGGACGUUGCACAAGACAGUCCCUGAUACCCAGAGUUUACUGCCUAAGAGAGGAUACAUCCUUCAAACCAAUAAUCUGCUAAUAGCAAGAUCCAAUAGCUUCAUGGAUAUUGAAAGAAACUGAGAAUCAAAUUUGCAUACUUCUGAGUCACUUGGAAACAAAAAACAAGUACAGUCUUAGAUUCUGAGGGAACAAAAAUUAAAAAUCACAUUAGGAAGAGAAUUCCUAAUGUAGGAACUCAUCCUGGAAGAUUCUUCAGCAAAAGUACAGACAAUAAUAAUAAUACUCCAUGAAGUUACCAUCGAUAUUGAAUGAAUUAAUGAAUGUAAAAACCUCAAAACCCUGCCUGGCCCAGAGCUUUGGAAUGGGUUUGGAUCUACCACUCAACUGCUUUAUGACUUCAGACCAGUUAUUUAAAUUCCCUGAAGCUCAGUUUCCACAUCUUUGAGUGCAGCCCGGAGAGCUGUGAGCAGUGCCACAGGAGGAGAUGACUGGUGAGUGAAAUAAGCAAGAUAGGAGUUGAAGUGUACAUGAAGCAGAGUCCAAGCCUUCUCCUUCUGGAUGUUCAGCUGGAUCAUCCUGACUGCUCCCACUUUCAUCUUGGCUUUCAAAGGCAAGAGGAAAUUAUAAGGAAUAUUCUGAGUGGCUUUCAUCCAGGAGUUCUGUGGGACCCGCAACACCUGGAUGGUAGAUGCAAACAGAUAAAGAAUAUUGGUCACCAAAAGGAGUUCUUUUCAUCAUAGAUCUCUGAAGGUAGACACCUAUUUGCAGACUUCUCAAAGGGCUAUAUGGAUGUGCUCUACUUGUUGGAGGAUUGUCCAUCCACUCUUCUUCCUGUACUUACCAGGACAGAACAGCCGCAACUUCUCAGACAGUUCAUUCUUCUUUUCCUCACCUACUACCAUCUAAGAAAGGGUGGGCAGCACCAGCUCAUUAGAACCAUUUGUGUGACUGACUGAAGACAGCUCACCUUGGAACACUGCAGGCCUCCAAAGAAGUCUACAAAUUCCAUCAGUCAGUAACGGCUUGGAGUUCCAAAGCUUAUGACUCAAAGGUGAUCAGAGCAUGGACCUGGGGCUAGUCUGGAUUGGUAACUGCUAAACUUGGAUACAUGGCUUCUGAUGGCCCUGCUGGGGAGACCAUGUGGAGAGAUGGCAUAGAGCCAGAGAUUCACGUUCCAGGAGCCCUGACUGUCUCAUCUCAGGGAAUUGAAUCUCCUUGUGCUCCAGACCCUAUGAGAGGAUGCCAUCCCCUGCUACCAUCUGACUGCAACCUCAGGAGACACCCCAAGCCAGAACUGAGCAGCCAAGCCACUCUCAUAUUCUUGACCCAUAGACAUUGGGAGAUAAAAACUGAUUGUUGUCAAUUUUAGUCAGUACAUUUUAGGGCAAUUUGAUGUCCUAGCAAUAGACUAGUAUAUUUAUCCAUUGCUGCAUCUUCUUCUGCUUAGAUUAUGAUGCAUGUUUUUUAGCUCCAACUAGUAUCUAAACUUGUCAUGGUCUUUGCUUGAAAGUUUGAUUUUUUGCUGCCCUUGAACUUUACCCCUGAUUCCAAUUUACCCAUUUGUUUUGGUUUAGUUUAAGGAGAUUGUAAACAAGUAUGCCUACAAGGGCCAUGCAACAAAUGCUAAAAAGAGAAGUAGACCUGGGCAGGGAGGCAAGGGAGCGGAAAGAUGUGUAGUACGUUCAGCUCAGGUCACGUUCAUCAUCCAGCUCUGGAAGAUGGAUCCAGUGGGCAUGUGUGCCUAAUGAUGCCACAUUAUCUGAUUUUUUUCUCCAAAAGAAAAAUCAAGAUUUUUAUUAAAAAUCUUCUGGUUUAAAAAAAUUUAAAUGCUAUUCAAAUUUCAAUAACAACCAUGCCAGAUAAAAAAUAGCUACUGACUGAACUUAGCCAUGAUCUGCCAACUUGCAACCUCCAAAUUAGAAGUUUUUAGCCACUAUGGAUGUUAGGAAGACCUGAAACACAGAAUAGAGAGAUUCCAAUUUUUCUAGUGACAAUGAGUCCUGAGAAAGGUGACAAAAUCAGAAUAACCUUUGGAGAAAGAUAAAUGCUACUAUCAGUGGAAUGGGAUUCAGUCUUCAGCCUGUUGUAGUAAUUCAGUAAGCACAUGUGGUCAUUGAGUGAACUCGCAUGGCCAAUACAAGGUAAGCUUGGCGGUUCCUUCUAUGUCAAACGUUCUAUUUAAAUAGAGAGAAAAGAGGAGUAAUAAUUGUUAAAACCCUUUUGCAGUUUUAAAAAGGCAUAUAAAUAGUAAAGGACCAGUUACCUUGCUUGAGAAAUUUGUACAGUACCUAGUUGUUCCUGAAAGAGUGUACUGACAGGAGCUGAAAAGCCUACCUGGAAGAGAAUAUGGUCCCAAAUUCCAAAGGCAGAAAGGAACACAGGUUAAAUAGAAGGAGCAGUAACAACCCAGACCAGAGAAGCCAGGCAAAGCCUUGGAGACUAGGUAUACAUAGGAGAUAGCAGUUCUCAAUUCCCAUUCCCUUUGUGCCAAGCACAGGCACCGUGAUCCUUCACUGAAGCUCAGUGAACACUGUUCUCAGAGAGAGGUCCUGUCAGCAUCCACCUACCGAACCAUCAAAUGUGUAUCUGUCUCAGUUCUGCUUGGGAGCCUGAUACAGAUCUUUCCAUCACUCAUGAAGGCCCUAGAAUGCAUCCUCUUUUUUUUUUUUUCCUUCUGGAAAAUAUCAACCAGUUUUGGUAGAUUUUACCUUUCCAUUCUCUGUGUCCCUCCAUUAUUUUGGUCAACUCACCUCUGAAAACAGCAAAGCCUCUCAGGUCUACCGUGGGACACGCAGAAUUACAAGCUGAGCUACCCUCUGGGAUGGAAGCAGGGGUCUGGGAGGGUGGCACUAACGCUUAAUAUUAUUGAGUUAAAAUCUCAAUAAAUUAUCCCAGUAAAUCAUACAAUCAGAAAGACAAAGUCCUUGCCAAUAAAUAUGCACAACUCUCUGCCUAGAGACAAACCCACCUUGAGUUCACUCACGCAACCCAAUACCCAUAAACUACUCUCCAUAAAGCAAUGGAAAAGAGGAGCUGAGGUUAACAAAGUUCUUUCAGCCUACCCACGUAGGCUGACAUUUAUCUGCAUGCAUAGAACUCACAACAUUUAUUGUAGCAGAGUACAUAUUUCAGAAAACUGAUUUUGCUUUUUCCUAUAGCUGAUAACCUGGAAAAUACAGUCAUCUGUACUCUGUCUCCCAGGCGAUAGUGCAAAUCAGUAAAGAGUUUCCAUUGAUGGUUCUUUUGCAGACUCUAACCACAAUUGAACUCUCUGCUUUCCAUCAGUCGCCCACCCUGUUGUGUACAAAGAAGCAGAUAUGCAAUAUAGCAGGAGCCCCAAGAAAAGGUCUGGCUGUUCUGUCAAAACUAUUUAGUUCAAUAUUGUUCUCAAUGUGGCACCAUAGCCCUGGACAUGACACCCAGCACGUCCAAACAGACAUGAUUAUAUAUGAGACAGAAAGGCACUUACAUCACUGCGGGUUGUUAUGCUUUAAAGGGCUUUUUCCCCCCUCUUCAAAUUAAAAGUUUUCAAAAAUGAAAUAAAAAUAAACCUUUGAAGAAACCAGAUUGAGACUGAAUUUGGAAGGCCCUCCUGCCUAGUGUAUACUAAAGAAACAUUUUCUGGGUUUGUCCCUGAUGAUUUUCCUUGUAGUUGAGAAACACAAUCCACUGGAAGCUUUUGUGGCAGAACAAGAAUUUUAUGAACACGAACUUUACAAAGACUUCCCUAGGAGAUUUAAGGUCUGGAAAUCAAUAGAUCAAUCAGCAGCUUUUAUCAAUCUAUAAUGGUUCUCUCUCUUUGGAUGUUUGGAUGAAAAUGGGAUCAACGUAAAUUGAACAUGGAAUCACUUAUUCUUACAAGUUAAAUUUGUCAAACUGUAAGGCACAUAAAUGACAUGAAAUGUAAUCAUUUUUGAAUUUGGGACCCUACAGGGUGCACGUUGAUUGAAGAAAAAACAAGCAGAUGUUGCUUCAGCAUAACUCAUAGAGGCAAUCUAAAUGUUCUUCAAUCCCUGACACUUCUGAUCGUUUCCCAAAUAAACCAGUUCAUUAGUUAA
Molecule: long non-coding RNA, 4575 nt
Filed under: Homo sapiens (human)
Lineage: Eukaryota; Metazoa; Chordata; Mammalia; Primates; Hominidae
Description: long independently transcribed non-coding RNA 2955, transcript variant 12 (LINC02955)
Source: RNAcentral